RNAcentral lists this long non-coding RNA (20101 nucleotides) under Gossypium barbadense (sea-island cotton). Its description in RNAcentral is "long non-coding RNA (GBAR_LNC016705)". Lineage: Eukaryota; Viridiplantae; Streptophyta; Magnoliopsida; Malvales; Malvaceae. The record is from RNAcentral.
AUCCAAACCAGUUGAUGAGGAGUUCAAUAUCAUGCCUUUCCCUGGACGUCAAAAUGGUUACUUCAGUGGUGGUGAUAAAGUCCUAAACAAUCCUCCUUCACGUUCCUACUCUCCACCGGAAUCGAAAACUUUCCUUUUCGAGACUCACCACGUAUAUACAACCGAUGCCGAUGAUGUCUUUAUGGUGGAAGGAAACCUGAUUUUUCAAACCUCGUUUUACUAUGAACAAAGUAUCUCCUAUGGAAGCUCAUACGUUAUAAGGUCAAGCGACUCAAGCGACCGUGGGACACUGGACUUCGAUUUUCAAGGCUUCUGGUCUCGAACAACCGGGAAGCUUUGCAUGGUGGGAUCGAGUUAUGCUUACUCGAAAGAAGGUAAACUGCUUCAUCUUGCUGCUGUUCUUGAGAUUAAUAAUCUUCAGAGUUCAAGUAAUAUUAGGACUUUAGUCACUGGUACCAUGGAUAGCUUGAGUUCUGCUAAUGAUCCAAAUCACUUUGAGCAAAUAUCACUGCUGAUGUUUCCUCAAGUAAAUUACGCUUACACCAUGAUUUCAAAUCAGUUCAGUGAAGGGUGUCCUCGGGGAACCGAUGUCCAACCGAUGUCGUCCCUCCGCUUAUCGCGCACUCGAACUAUUUGUGAUAUGUUAGGUGGAAGCAAUGCUUUCGAAUUGGAGUAUUCUGGCAGUUGUAAUUUUUCAAAGAGUUGCAAUCCAUUUGGUGAUGGUAUUAGAUAUUUCCCUUCAGUAGUAUCAUUGCGUAUGAUUCAGUGCUCAAACGAUGGGCUAAGCUUGAGGCUUCUGAUAGAAUUUCGGAACGAUAGAUAUCAGGGAUACUAUAGCUCUCCCAAUCUCAACACUUCAUUAAUUGGAGAAGGAUCUUGGGAUGCAAAGAGUAAUCGGCUUUGUAUCAUAGCUUGCCGAAUCUAUGAUGCAUCGAGCUCCUUGGAGAAGUCUCAUGUCGGAGACUGCACGACACGGUUGAGCUUAAGAUUCCCUGCAAUCUUGUCUAUCAGAAACACAAGCACCAUCGUAGGAGAAAUUUGGAGUGUGAAGCUUAGGAAUGAAGGUGGUUUCUUUGAUAGGAUCGAGUUCCGAAAUACUGCACCUUAUGGAGGAAUUCAACUUCAAGGUUUGAAGUAUGUGUACACGGAAAUGGACGAAGUGAAGAAAUCAUGUCCAAAGAAGAAUUCUAGGACUAAAAGCAGUAGGGAACACUAUCCAGAUGGCUAUUCUGGAGACAUGAGUUUUAGUAUGUCGAUCAUCAACGGUUCCAAAGGAAGCAUCGGAUGGGGUUCUUCGAAUAUUCUUGCGGUAGAUGAUCAGCAGUAUCAGAGAUUUCCAUCUCUAUUACCAUCCUCCAGCUCAAAGCCUAAAAUUCCUGGUGUUGAAUCCGAUUCCAGCAGUGGCUUGCUUAAUGUCAGCUAUAAAAUGAGUAUCAUGCUGCGUAGUUCGGAAUUGGAUGGUGGCCUUAAUCCGGUUAACGAAUCUUCAAAUGAAUAUUUGAAAACCGAAAUCCAAAUUUCUGCUGAAGGGGUUUAUGAUACAGCAACAGGUAGCCUAUGCAUGGUUGGCUGCAGACAUUUAAGGUCAGGUGACAAAACAUUUUCAAGCCAUUCGAUGGAUUGCGAGAUCCUGGUGAAAAUCAAUUUUCCUCCAUUGAACUCGGACAGGAGAAGUAAGAUCAGAGGAAGCAUCGAAAGCACACGUGAAGAAAUCGAUCCUCUGUCCUUCAAGCCCCUGCAGUUUUCGGGAAGAGCUUAUUAUCGCAGUUGGGUUACGGAAUCAAUUUGGAGAAUGGAUUUCGAGAUGAUCGUGUCGGUCAUAUCCAACACUCUUACAAUUAUCUUUGUUGCAUUUCAAAUCUUUCAUGUGAGGAAGCACCGUGGCAUUGGUCCUGUGGUUUCACUUCUCAUGCUAGUUAUUCUAGCCCUGGGACACUUCAUCCCUUUGGUUCUAAACCUCGAAGCAAUGUUCAUUCAAAAUAGCGAGAGAUCGGUCUUGAUUAGAGGUGAAACGUGGCUCGAAAUGAACGAGGUGAUCGUUAGAGUCGUCACAAUGGUGGCUUUUCUGCUGCAAGUCCGUCUUCUGAUGCUCUCGUGGACUGCUAGAUGCUCCACUGAAAAGAAAAAGACCUUGUGGAUUGCAGAGAAAAGGGGGCUGUAUGUGUGUGUUCCGGUGUACGGAAUCGGAGCUAUUAUUGCCUUUUCGGUUAAGUCAAGGCAGAAUGUACACCGAACAGUAAGGGCCAGGCAUUCUUGGUACUACAUAGAUGAAAUCAUUUUGGGGAAUUCAAGAGCUUAUGCUGGUUUGAUACUGGAUGCCUUUCUUUUCCCUCAAAUUAUCUUCAACGUGUUCCACAACUCGAGAGAACUGGCUCUUUCUCGACUCUUUUACAUCGGAAUCACCCUUGUUCGCCUCGUACCCCAUGGAUAUGAUCUGUACAGGGCAAACAACUAUGUUGAUAUAGAUGACACAUACAUUUACGCAGAUCAUGGUGCAGAUUACUACUCAACUGCUUGGGACUUCAUUAUUAUUGUGUUGGGUAUAUUCUUUGCUGUGAUCAUACACUACCAACAGCGCCUCGGCGGUCGAUAUUUCCUUUCGAAGAGAUUCCUAGAAUCUGGGACAGAUAAGGAACCUCCAGUGGAUUCAGAAGAACAAUUGCCAUUGAAAUAUAGCACCUAGUCCAUGCCUUGUGUUACUUUUAAGUGUUCACAACUUUUACUGUUUCCAAAUAAUUAUGUAAAUUCAUCCUUUUUCUUUUAUAGCUUAAUAAGCCUAAUGUAAUAUAAAGUUAUAAAUAAAAUUGUUUUAAAAAAUAUUUUAUUUUAAAUUUUUAUUUUAGAUUAAAGUUUGGGUGAGCCUUAAAUGUGAAUAUGUACCCAAAAUGAAUAAAUUUAAAAAGUACACAGUACAAAGAAAAAAAAAAAUUUUGUGUCAGAAUCAAAUAAAAAAAUCCGAAAAAAAGAAAAAAAAAUUGGGUGUUGGCCUGUCAAUGGCCGGCACCCAGUACGCAGUACAAAGAAAAAAAUUUAUUUAUUUUUAUUUUUUUCGUAUUUUUUUAUCUGAUUCUGACACGAAAAAAAAAUAAUUUUUUUUCUUUCUACUGUGUACUGGGUGCCGGCCAUUGACAGGCCAGCACCCAAAAUUUUUUUUUAUUUUUUUUCUUAUUUUUUAUCUGAUUCUGACACAAAAAAAUAAAAUUUUUUUUCUUUGUACUGUGUACUGGGUGCCGGCUAUUGACAGGCCAGCACCCAAAAAUUUUUUUUUAAUUUUUUUCGUAUUUUUUAUCUUAUUCUGACACGAAAAAAAAUAAAAAAAAAUUUUGUACUGUGUACUGGGUGCCGGCCAUUGACAGGCCAGCACCAAAUUUUUUUUUUUGUUUUUUUUCUUUUUUGUAUAUCCGUAUUUCAGUAUUACACAAUUUUUUUAAAAAAAUACCUGGGUUCUGGCCAUUGACAAGCCAGAACCCAAAAAAAUAAUUUUUUUAAGUCUAACAUAAUGAUUAGCCAAUCAUUGGUGCAAAAAAAGAGUGGGUACUGUUCAUUUUAGGUUAUUUUGGUGAUUGUUUUUAAACUUGGGUUAUUUUUGUAAAUAUAAUAUUUUUUGGGUUAUUUGGGUAAAACAGCCUAGUUCUGUCCUGGACGGGUCAUUGGAUCUAAUUCGAAGUCUUAUCCGAAAAUUGAAAGGGUUUGAAUGAAAAUAUAAGCUCAAAAAAUAGACUUGGACAAAAUAAAAAGACUCGUUUAAAAAACGGAUCAGACCUUGGGUAAGCCUUUUUGGCCCAAUCUCGGCCCUAAUUAGCAAAAAGACAAAAAAAAAAGCCUACUAUUUUCUUACUGUUUUGAUACUAUUUUUUUUAUUAUUUUCUUACUUUUUUACUAUCAUUUCAUUAUUAUGUUACUAUUAUUUUGUUAUUAUUAUUUAGAUAUUGUAUAACUCUUAUUUUAAUAUUAAUUUUGUUACUAUUUUAGAGACAUUUGUUUGUUAAGUUACACUUAUCUUAGUAUUAUUUAAGUAUAAAUUUAUUUUUUAAAUUUAUUUUCAAUUUUUUAAGAAUCAUUUAUUUUAAUGUUUUUUAUAUUUUAGAUGUAUUAUAUUUUUAAUUUUUUAUAUAUAAAAAAUAAUAUAAAGAAAUUAAUUUGGGCGGAUCGAACUAGACUCGAGUUUUAGUAUUUUUAUCCAAGUUGGGCUUGAAAAAAAUUUAAGCCCAUUUUUCGGGUCAAAUCGAGCCCAAACAUAGCAAACGGGCCUAAAAUAAUAAUAAUUCAUUAUUGGAUUGAGGUAGAACAUGAGGCUUGACUCUCGGCUUGUUAAAAUAUAUUAUUUGGUACCCAUAUUUGAUUUCAAUGUUUGAUUUGGUAUCUGAGUUUGACUUCAAUGCUUAGUUUGAUACUUGAGUUUUUUCAUAUUAAUGCUUGAGUUUUUCUUUGUCACAUAUAAGUACCUAAAUUUUACUUCAAUGUUUAAUUUGGCACUUGAGUUUUUUCUUUUGUCCCAAUUAAGUACCUAUGAUUAUUUUACUAAGGCACACAUGUAAAAUAUUUUUUGAAGUACACGAUGUUUAGUUUGGGUACCAAAUUAAAUAUUGAAACCAAAUAUAAGCACUAAAUGGUAUAUUAACCCUUAACUUUAUCAUAUAGGGACCUAAAUUUAACAAAAAUAAAAUUAACAGUGUUAACAAUUAGACCUAAAUUCUAAAAUUUUAAAAGUAGAAAGAGUAAGGUCCUGAAAAUAAAAAUAUAGGGACUAAAUUUUAAAUUUAUGAAUCGUACAGGAUCUACAACAUAUUUUAACCCUUUGAAAAAUCAACGAUUAGACCACUUUUAGCAAAUAGCAGGAAAUUGCAUCCAUGUGCUCUAGUUUUUAAGUCAAGUCAGCUGUUGUAGGACCUGCCGACAAUAAUAAUAAUAACCACUCGUUAUUGAUUGAGGUAGAAGACGAGGCAUGACUCUAAACUUCCUUUAAUUUUAAAGUUAAUAUAUUAUUUAGUACCUAUAUUUAAUUUUAAUGUUCAAUUCGAUACCUAAAUUUUUUUCCCAAAUUGGUACCUGAUUUUUUGGGUAUUGAUACUUGAGUUUUCUUUUUCCCAUACCAGUACUCAGGUUUGACUUUAAUGUUUAAUUUAACACCUGAGUUUUUUUUGUCCCAAUUAAGUAUCUAUGUUUUUUUACUAGGCGGACAUGUCAAAUAUUUAUUGAACCACACGAUGUCGUUUAGUUUGAGUAUCGAAUUGAACAUUGAAGCCAAACUUAGGUUUCAAAUUGAAACAAAAAAAAGAUUAGGUACAAAAUUGAAAAUUCAAGCCAAAUGUAAGUACCAAAUGAUAUAUUAACCCUUAAUUUUAUCAUAUAUAUAUAUAUAUGUAAAUAUUAAUCAAAAAAAUUAAACAUUUUGGUGUUGAUUAUAUAAAUAUUCAUAUAAGACAUUCACACCAAAUGGCAUGAUUUCACCCAUAUUUCUGGUAUUGUUUAUACGUUUGAGGGUCAGUCUACAAAAAAAUACAUCAGUUUUCAAAAAUUAUUUAGUUGUUAAAUAUAAGGUUGUCUUUUGCUGUGUUCAUUUUAUAAUGUGAUUUGAUCAAAAACUUCCUUCGGAUUAAAUAUAAAAUAUUGUCAUAAUCCUCUCUUACUUUUCAAAGUCUUGCAAGGUCUUGUUCUUGGAAAUUUCCCAUGUCCAGUGAGAGAUGUAGAGUAUAAUAUCUAUAUAUUUAUGAUCAUUUUCAAAGCUUUUGCAAUAAGUUCUUUAUCACAAUCUUGCUGUCUGAAGAAAUUCAUGUCUAUAGAUAUGGACUGUUCCAUAUUCUGUACGACGAAACUCUGUUUUAUUAAUGCUUUCUUCAUGUUGUUUAUCAUCUCCUCUUUCACAUGUCCUCAUGUAGUCUUCGGCACAGCAAGUGAAGUUGAUUAUGGUGUUCACUGUAACUCAGUUGUUCAUGAAUCCAAACCAGUUGAUGAGGAGUUCAAUAUCAUGCCUUUCCCUGGACGUCAAAAUGGUUACUUCAGUGGUGGUGAUAAAGUCCUAAACAAUCCUCCUUCACGUUCCUACUCUGCACCCAAAUCGAAAACGCUCCUUUUCGAGACUCACCACGUAUUUACAACCGAAGCUGAUGAUGUCUUUAUGGUGGAAGGAAACCUGAUUUUUCAAACCUCGUUUUACUAUGAACGGAGUAUCUCCUCUGGAAGCUCACACUUUAUUAUAAGGUCAAGCGAUUCAAGCGACCGUGGGACACUGGACUUCGAUUUUCGAGGCUUCUGGUCUCGAACAACCGGGAAGCUUUGCAUGGUGGGAUCGAGUUAUGCUUACUCCAAAGAAGGUAAACUGCUUCAUCUUGCUGCUGUUCUUAAGAUUAAUAAUCUUAGGAAGUCAAGUACUAUCAGAACUUUAGUGACUGGUACCCUGGAUAGCUUGAAUUCAAUUGGUGAUCCAAAUCACUUUGAGCAAAUUUCACUGCUGAUGUUUCCCCAACUAAAUUACGCUUACACCAUGGUUUCAAAACAAUUUAGUGAAGGGUGUCCUCGGGGAACCGAUGUCCAACCGAUGUCGUCCCUCCGCUUAUCGCAAACUCGAACUAUUUGUGAUAUGUUAGGUGGAAGCAAUGCUUUCGAAUUGGAGUAUACUGGCAGUUGUAAUUCUUCAAAGAGUUGCAAUCCAUUUGGUGAUGGUAUUGGAUAUUUACCUUCAGUAAUAUCGUUGAGUAUGAUUCAGUGCUCAAACGAUAGGCAAAGCUUGAGGUUUCUGAUAGAAUUCCGGAACGACAGCUAUCAGGGAUACUAUAGCUCUCCCAAUCUCAACACUUCAUUAAUUGGAGAAGGAUCUUGGGAUGCAAAGAGUAAUCGGCUUUGUAUCAUUGCUUGCCGAAUCUAUGAUGCAUCGAGCUCCUUGGAGAAGUCUCAUGUCGGAGACUGCACGACACGGUUGAGCUUAAGAUUCCCUGCAAUCUUGUCUAUCAGAAACCCAAGCACCAUUGUAGGAGAAAUUUGGAGUGAGAAGCCUAGGAAUGAAGGUGGUUUCUUUGACAGGGUCGAGUUCCGAAAUACUGGACGUUAUGGAGGAGGAAUUCAACUUCAAGGUUUGAAGUAUGUGUACACGGAAAUGGACGAAGUGAAGAAAUCAUGUCCAAAGAAGAAUUCUAGGACUAAUAGCAGUAUGGAACACUAUCCAGAUGGCUAUUCUGGAGACAUGAGUUUUAGUAUGUCCAUCAUCAACGGUUCCAAAGGAAGCAUCGGAUGGGGUUCUUCGGAUAUUCUUGCGGUAGAUGAUCAGCAGUAUCAGAGAUUUCCAUCUCUAUUACCAUCCUCAAGCUCAAAGCCUAAAAGUUCUGGCGUUGAAUCCGAUUCCAGCAGUGGCUUGCUUAAUGUCAGCUAUAAAAUUAGCAUCCCGCCACUUAGUUUGGAAUUGGAUGGUGGCCUCAAACCGGUUAACCAAUCUUCAUAUGAAUAUCUGCAAACCAAAAUCCAAAUUUCUGCUGAAGGGGUUUAUGAUACAACAACAGGUAGCCUAUGCAUGGUUGGCUGCAGGCGUUCAAGGUUAGACGGCAAAUCAUUUUCAAGCCAUUCGAUAGAUUGCGAUAUCCUUGUGCAAGUCAACUUUCUUCCAUUGAACUCGCGCAAGAUAAAUAACAUCAAGGGAAGCAUCGAGAGCACGCGUGAAAAUACCGAUAGUCUGUACUUCAAGCCUCUGCAGAUUUUGGGAACAACUAAUUCUCGCAGUUGGGGAGCGGAAUCGAUUUGGAGAAUGGAUUUCGAGAUGAUCGUGUCGGUCGUAUCCAACACUCUUGCAAUUAUCUUUGUUGCAUUUCAAAUCUUUCAUGUGAGGAAGCACCGUGGCAUUGGUCCUAUGGUUUCACUUCUCAUGCUUGUUAUUCUAGCCCUGGGACACUUGAUCCCUUUGGUUCUAAACCUCGAAGCAACGUUCAUUCAGGAUAGCGAGCGAUCGAUCUUGAUUAGAGGUGGAAGGUGGCUCGAAAUGAAUGAGGUGAUCAUUAGAGUCGUCACAAUGGUGGCUUUUCUGCUGCAAGUCCGUCUUCUGAUGCUCUCAUGGACUGCUAGAUGCUCCACUGAAAAGAAAAAGACCUUGUGGAUUGCAGAAAAAAGGGGGCUGUAUGUGUGUGUUCCGGUGUACGUAAUCGGAGCUAUUAUCGCCUUUUCGGUUAAGUCAAGGCAGAAUGUACACGGAACAGUAAUGGCCAGGCAUUCUUGGUACGACAUAGAUGAAAUCAUUUUGGGGAAUUCAAGAGCUUAUGCUGGUUUGAUACUGGAUGCCUUUCUUUUCCCUCAAAUCAUCUUCAACAUGUUCCACAGCUCGAGAGAACUGGCUCUUUCUCGACUCUUUUACAUCGGAAUCACCCUUGUUCGCCUCGUACCCCAUGGAUAUGAUCUGUACAGGGCAAACAGCUAUGUUGAUAUAGAUGACACAUACAUUUAUGCAGAUCAUGGUGCAGAUUACUACUCAACUGCUUGGGACUUCAUUAUUAUUGUGUUGGGUAUAUUCUUUGCUGUGAUCAUACACUACCAACAGCGCCUCGGCGGUCGAUAUUUCCUUUCGAAGAGAUUCCUAGAAUCUGUGAUAGAUGAGGAACCUCCAGUGGAUUCAGAAGAACAAUUGCCAUUGAAAUAUAGCACCUAGUCCAUGCCUUGUGUUACUUCUAAGUGUUCACAACUUUUACUGUUUCCAAAUAAUUCUGUAAAUUGAUCCUUUUUCUUUUAUAGCUUAAUAAGCCUAAUGUAAUAUAAAGUUAUAAAUAAAAUUGUUUUAAAAAAUAUUUUAUUUUAGAUUAAAGUUUGGGUGAGCCUUAAAUGUGAAUAUGUACCCAAAACGAAUAAAUUUAAAAAUUAUACUUUUUUUUAUAUUUAAAUAUAAAUCCAACAUAAAUUCUUACAAAAAUUAAAAGUAAAUUUAUUGGCAUGUAGCAUAACAUUUCCUUGUAAUUUUGGUGUUUUCAGCUUUCCAUUUACCAACUUUUGACUUAGUUUACUCCUCUCUAGUGUUUGAUAAAAGCUAUUAAAAAACCUAUAAUUUAUAACCAUAGUUAAAUAUCCAAUGUAUUAAUGAUAUGUUUGGUAGGAAUAUGAAUUAGUAAUAAAUUAAUUUCAGUCGAUAAUUUAAAUAUUUAUAUGAUCGACUUGUUUGAUAUGUUUAAUAUAAACGAGGACUGUUAUGUUAAAUACUAGAUAUGAACUUUGGGGGUUAGCUGCCCCUAAAAUUUAUAAAAUUUCUUUUAAGGUCCUUUGAAUUUUCAAUUUUUUUAAUUGGAUAUUAUAAUGUAGUGUCUAAAAAGGAGGACAAAUUUGUGUUUGACUUCUUAAACUUUUUUCAAUUUUUUUAUUUGAUUUCUUUUAUAGAAUUUAUAAAUUUUUUAAUUAUAAAUUUAAUAAAUUAAUGCAAAGUAAUAUAUAAAUAUUAAUUUGUUAAUAAAGUAAUAAUUGCAACAUCUAAGUAUAAUUAUUAUCUAAAAUUAAUUAGAUGAAAAAUAAACUUAAAUAAUUAUAAUAUUUAAUAAAAAUUGAGCAUUUAGCUCUUUUUUUCUUCUAAAUUUUGGUGACUAAGAUUAUCCCGAAUGUAAAAAUCUGUUGUUGAAAGCAGGUCUUUUCCACUUUGAUCAUGUAUAUUAUAUAUAAAUAUCUCGCCCCCUUAUCAACAAUUUUAGCUUCGACCUUGUAAAUAACACUCAAAUUUCAAAAAGGCAAUGAAAGAUAGAUAUUACGAUAUCAAAGUGUUUGGUUGUUGAGAAUUGUGAUAUUUGUUACUAUUGUUAUAAUUUAUUUCGUAUGAAGUUUACAUCAGUGUUAAUUAUGAUUAUCAUCCGAAUCUGUAUCAUUAAGAUCAUCAAGAUUUUUUUUUUGGUGUACUUUUCAAAGUAUGAAUCAUUCCAAAUUCAUCUAUGAAUGAAGCUGCGAAUUAUGCAACAUGUUUGUACAAUCCAAUGAAAUAUGAAUCAUCACUUUUAUAAUAUACAAAUUAUUUUUAUGAUAAUUUUUUAUCAUAACUUAAAAAAAAUAAGUUUAAAUAAUAUAAAUUUUUAUUAUAAUUUUAUAAAAUAAAUAUAAAUUAUUUUCAGAACAUAAUUUAUUAUAAUGAUUAUGAUUUUAACCAUUACUUUUCACAACACAUUAUUCUAAACAUUAAAGGUAUGAUUUUAACCAUUACUUUCUACUACUUUCAAUUAUACAAAAAGAUUUAAGUUUAGAUCCCACACUUGACUCGAAGAUAUAAAAACCUUAAUUGGAUGAAGAGAUUGACGAUCUAGUUCGGAGGAGAGGGAUGAUUUUUAAAACUUUUUGAAUUCCUUUGCUUGAAGAUUAAUUUGGUAAUGGUGGAGGAAUAAUUUGCUUGAUGAAAAUUAUAGGGUUUGAAAAUAUUUUCUAUUUCAAAAUUUUAAAAUCUAAAAGGUAAAGGUUAAAUUAUUAGAAAUAAAAGUAUAAAAAUUAAAUUUAAAAUUUUUCAAUAGUUCAGGGACCGAUGACAUAACUUAACCCUUCUAUGAUUGGACCUUUUUAGCAAACAGCACGAAUUUUCAUCCAUCUCUUUGGUCUAGCUUUUAAGUCAAGUCAACUGUUGUAGGACCUGCCAAUAAAAUCCUUUUGUUUCGACCCAAAACCUACAAAAAAAUGACUAAACUGAGUCACAUUGACUUUGCUAUUUUUCAUAAUAAUAAUAGUAAUAACAAUAAUUCAUUAACCUAAAAAUAAUAAUAACUCAAUGGUAGUUUUGUCUUCGACGGGUCAUUGGAUCUGAUUCUAAGUCCUAUCCGAAAAUUAAAAAGGGUUUGGAUAAAAAUAUAGGCUCAAAAAAUAGACUUGGACAAAAAAAAACUCGUUUAAAAAACGGGUCAGACCUUGGGUAAGGCUUUUUGGCCCAAUCUCGGCCCUAAUUAGCAAAAAGACAAAAAAAAACUACUAUUUUCUUGUUGUUUUGAUACUAUUUUCUUAUUAUUUUCUUACUUUUUUACUAUCAUUUCACUCUUAUGUUACUACUAUUUUGUUGUUAUUAUUCGGAUAUUGUAUAACUCUUAUUUUAUUAUUAAUUUUGUUACUAUUUUAGAGACAUUUGUUUGUUAAGUUACACCUAUCUUAGUAUUAUUUAAGUAUAAAUUUAUUUUUUAAAUUUAUUUUCAAUUUUUUGAGAAUCAUUUAUUUUAAUGUUUUUUUAUAUUUUAGAUGUAUUAUAUUUUUAAUUUUUUAUAUAUAAAAAAUAAUAUAAAGAAAUUAAUUUGGGCGGAUCGAACUAGACUCGAGUUUUAGCAUUUUUAUCCAAGUUGGGCUUGAAAAAAAUUUAGGCCCAUUUUUCGGGUCAAAUCGAGCCCAAACAUAGCAAACGGGCCUAAAAUAAUAAUAAUUCAUUAUUGGAUUGAGGUAGAACAUGAGGCUUGACUCUCGGCUUGUUAAUAUAUUAUUUGGUACCCAUAUUUGAUUUCAAUGUUUGAUUUGGUAUCUGAGUUUGACUUCAAUGCUUAGUUUGAUACUUGAGUUUUUUCAUAUUAAUGCUUGAGUUUUUCUUUGUCACAUAUAAGUACCUAAAUUUUACUUCAAUGUUUAAUUUGGCACUUGAGUUUUUUCUUUUGUCCCAAUUAAGUACCUAUGAUUCUUUUACUAAGGCACACAUGUAAAAUAUUUUUUGAAGUACACGAUGUUUAGUUUGGGUGCCAAAUUAAAUAUUGAAACCAAAUAUAAGCACUAAAUGGUAUAUUAACCCUUAACUUUAUCAUAUAGGGACCUAAAUUUAACAAAAAGAAAAUUAACAGUGUUAACAAUUAGACCUAAAUUCCAAAAUUUAAAAAGUAGAAAGAGUAAGUUCCUGAAAAUAAAAAUAUAGGGACUAAAUUUUAAAUUUAUGAAUCGUACAGGAUCUACAACAUAUUUUAACCCUUUGAAAAAUCAACGAUUAGACCACUUUUAGCAAAUAGCAGGAAAUUGCAUCCAUGUGCUCUAGUUUUUAAGUCAAGUCAGCUGUUGUAGGACCUGCCGACAAUAAUAAUAAUAACCACUCGUUAUUGAUUGAGGUAGAAGACGAGGCAUGACUCUAAACUUCCUUUAAUUUUAAAGUUAAUAUAUUAUUUAGUACCUAUAUUAAAAUCCUAUAUUUAAUUUUAAUAUUCAAUUCGAUACUUAAAUUUUUUUCCUAAAUUGGUACCUGAUUUUUUGGUAUUGAUACUUGAGUUUUCUUUUUCCCAUACCAGUACUCAGGUUUGACUUUAAUGUUUAAUUUAACACCUGAAUUUUUUUUGUCCCAAUUAAGUAUCUAUGUUUUUUUACUAGGCGGACAUGUCAAAUAUUUAUUGAACCACACGAUGUCGUUUAGUUUGGGUAUCGAAUUGAACAUUGAAGCCAAACUUAGGUUUCAAAUUGAAACAAAAAAAGAUUAGGUACAAAAUUGAAAAUUCAAGCCAAAUGUAAGUACCAAAUGAUAUAUUAACCCUUAAUUUUAUCAUAUAUAUAUAUAUAUGUAAAUAUUAAUCAAAAAAAUUAAACAUUUUGGUGUUGAUUAUAUAAAUAUUCAUAUAAGACAUUCACACCAAAUGGCAUGAUUUCACCCAUAUUUCUGGUAUUGUUUAUACGUUUGAGGGUCAGUCUACAAAAAAAUACAUCAGUUUUCAAAAAUUAUUUAGUUGUUAAAUAUAAGGUUGUCUUUUGCUGUGUUCAUUUUAUAAUGUGAUUUGAUCAAAAACUUCCUUCGGAUUAAAUAUAAAAUAUUGUCAUAAUCCUCUCUUACUUUUCAAAGUCUUGCGAGGUCUUGUUCUUGGAAAUUUCCCAUGUCCAGUGAGAGAUGUAGAGUGAUAUCUAUAUAUUUACGAUCAUUUUCAAAGCUUUUGCAAUAAGUUCUUUAUCACAAUCUUGCUGUCCGAAGAAAUUCAUGUCUAUAGAUAUGGACUGUUCCAUAUUCUGUAGGACGAAACUUUGUUUUAAUGCUUUCUUCUUCUUGUUUAUCAUCUCCUCUUUCACAUGUCUUCAUGUAGUCUUCGGCACAGCAAGUGAAUUUGAUUAUGGCGUUCACUGUAACUCAGUUGUUCAUGAAUCCAAACCAGUUGAUGAGGAGUUCAAUAUCAUGCCUUUCCCUGGACGUCAAUAUGGUUACUUCAGUGGUGGUGAUAAAGUCCUAAACAAUCCUCCUUCACGUUCCUACUAUGCACCCAAAUCGAAAACUCUCCUUUUCGAGACUCACCACGUAUUUACAACCGAUGCUGAUGAUGUCUUUAUGGUGGAAGGAAACCUGAUUUUUCAAACCUCGUUUUACUAUGAACAGAGUAUCUCCUCUGGAAGCUCAUAUUUUCGUGGGACACUGGACUUCGAUUUUCGAGGCUUCUGGUCUCGAACAACCGGGAAGCUUUGCAUGGUGGGAUCGAGUUAUGCUUACUCCAAAGAAGGUAAACUGCUUCAUCUUGCUGCUGUUCUUAAGAUUAAUAAUCUUCAGAGUUCAAGUAAUAUUAGUACUUUAGUCACCGGUACCAUGGAUAGCUUGAGUUCUGCUAAUGAUCCAAAUCACUUUGAGCAAAUAUCACUGCUGAUGUUUCCUCAAGUAAAUUACGCUUACACCAUGAUUUCAAAUCAGUUUAGUAAAGGGUGUCCUCGGGGAACCGAUGUCCAACCGAUGUCAUCCCUCCGCUUAUCGCAAACUCGAACUAUUUGUGAUAUGUUAGGUGGAAGCAAUGCUUUCGAAUUGGAGUAUACUGGCAGUUGUAAUUCUUCAAAGAGUUGCAAUCCAUUUGGUGAUGGUAUUGGAUAUUUACCUUCAGUAAUAUCGUUGAGUAUGAUUCAGUGCUCAAACGAUAGGCAAAGCUUGAGGUUUCUGAUAGAAUUCCGGAACGACAGCUAUCAGGGAUACUAUAGCUCUCCCAAUCUCAACACUUCAUUAAUUGGAGAAGGAUCUUGGGAUGCAAAGAGUAAUCGGCUUUGUAUCAUUGCUUGCCGAAUCUAUGAUGCAUCGAGCUCCUUGGAGAAGUCUCAUGUCGGAGACUGCACGACACGGUUGAGCUUAAGAUUCCCUGCAAUCUUGUCUAUCAGAAACCCAAGCACCAUUGUAGGAGAAAUUUGGAGUGAGAAGCCUAGGAAUGAAGGUGGUUUCUUUGACAGGGUCGAGUUCCGAAAUACUGGACGUUAUGGAGGAGGAAUUCAACUUCAAGGUUUGAAGUAUGUGUACACGGAAAUGGACGAAGUGAAGAAAUCAUGUCCAAAGAAGAAUUCUAGGACUAAUAGCAGUAUGGAACACUAUCCAGAUGGCUAUUCUGGAGACAUGAGUUUUAGUAUGUCCAUCAUUAACGGUUCCAAAGGAAGCAUCGGAUGGGGUUCUUCGGAUAUUCUUGCGGUAGAUGAUCAGCAGUAUCAGAGAUUUCCAUCUCUAUUACCAUCCUCAAGCUCAAAGCCUAAAAGUUCUGGCGUUGAAUCCGAUUCCAGCAGUGGCUUGCUUAAUGUCAGCUAUAAAAUUAGCAUCCCGCCACUUAGUUUGGAAUUGGAUGGUGGCCUCAAACCGGUUAACCAAUCUUCAUAUGAAUAUCUGCAAACCAAAAUCCAAAUUUCUGCUGAAGGGGUUUAUGAUACAACAACAGGUAGCCUAUGCAUGGUUGGCUGCAGGCGUUCAAGGUUAGACGGCAAAUCAUUUUCAAGCCAUUCGAUAGAUUGCGAUAUCCUUGUGCAAGUCAACUUUCUUCCAUUGAACUCGCGCAAGACAAAUAACAUUAAGGGAAGCAUCGAGAGCACGCGUGAAAAAACCGAUAGUCUGUAUUUCAAGCCUCUGCAGAUUUUGGGAACAACUUAUUCUCGCAGUUGGGGAGCGGAAUCGGUUUGGAGAAUGGAUUUCGAGAUGAUCGGGUCGGUCGUAUCCAACACUCUUGCAAUUAUCUUUGUUGCAUUUCAAAUCUUUCAUGUGAGGAAGCACCGUGGCAUUGGUCCUAUGGUUUCACUUCUCAUGCUUGUUAUUCUAGCCCUGGGACACUUGAUCCCUUUGGUUCUAAACCUCGAAGCAAUGUUCAUUCAAGAUAGCGAGAGAUCGGUCUUGAUUAGAGGUGGAAAGUGGCUCGAAAUGAACGAGGUGAUAAUUAGAGUCGUCACAAUGGUGGCUUUUCUGCUGCAAGUCCGUCUUCUGAUGCUCUCAUGGACUGCUAGAUGCUCCACUGAGAAGAAAAAGACCUUGUGGAUUGCAGAGAAAAGGGGGCUGUAUGUGUGUGCUCCGGUGUACGUAAUCGGAGCUAUUAUCGCCUUUUCGGUUAAGUCAAGGCAGAAUGUACACAGAACAGUAAUGGCCAGGCAUUCUUGGUACGACAUAGAUGAAAUCAUUUUGGGGAAUUCAAGAGCUUAUGCUGGUUUGAUACUGGAUGCCUUUCUUUUCCCUCAAAUCAUCUUCAACAUGUUCCACAACUCGAGAGAACUGGCUCUUUCUCGACUCUUUUACAUCGGAAUCACCCUUGUUCGCCUCGUACCCCAUGGAUAUGAUCUUUACAGGGCAAACAGCUAUGUUGAUAUAGAUGACACAUACAUUUAUGCAGAUCAUGGUGCAGAUUACUACUCAACUGCUUGGGACUUCAUUAUUAUUGUGUUGGGUAUAUUCUUUGCUGUGAUCAUACACUACCAACAGCGCCUCGGCGGUCGAUAUUUCCUUUCGAAGAGAUUCCUAGAAUCUGUGAUAGAUGAGGAACCUCCAGUGGAUUCAGAAGAACAAUUGCCAUUGAAAUAUAGCACCUAGUCCAUGCCUUGUGUUACUUCUAAGUGUUCACAACUUUUACUGUUUCCAAAUAAUUCUGUAAAUUGAUCCUUUUUCUUUUAUAGCUUAAUAAGCCUAAUGUAAUAUAAAGUUAUAAAUAAAAUUGUUUUAAAAAAUAUUUUAUUUUAAAUUUUUAUUUUAGAUUAAAGUUUGGGUGAGCCUUAAAUGCGAAUAUGUACCCAAAAUGAAUAAAUUUAAAAAUUAUACUCUUUUUUUUAUAUUUAAAUAUAAAUCCAACAUAAAUUCUUACAAAAUUAAAAGUAAAUGUUUAUAUAAAUCUUUAUACAAAUUUAUUGGCAUGUAGCAUAACAUUUCCUUGUAAUUUUGGUGUUUUCAGCUUUCCAUUUACCAACUUUUGACUUAGUUUACUCCUCUCUGGUGUUUGAUAAAAGCUAUUAAAACCUAUAAUUUAUAACCAUACUUAAAUAUCCAAUGCAUUAAUGAUAUGUUUGGUAUGAAUAUGAAUUAGUGAUAAAUUAAUUUCAAUCGAUAAUUUAAAUAUUUAUAUGAUCGACUUGUUUGAUAUGUUUAAUAUAAACGAGUACUGUUAUGUUAAAUACUAGAUAUGAACUUUGGGGGUUAGCUGCCCCUAAAAUUUAUAAAAUUUCUUUUAAGGUCCUUUGAAUUUUCAAUUUUUUUUAAUUUGAUAUUAUAAUGUAGUGUCUAAAAUAAGGACAAAUUUGUGUUUGACUUCUUAAACUUUUUUCAAAAUUUUUUUAUUUGAUUUCUUUUAUAGAAUUUAUAAAUUUUUAAUUAUAAAUUUAAUAAAUUAAUACAAAAUAAUAUAUAAAUAUUAAUUUGGUAAUAAAGUAAUAAUUGCAACAUCUAAGUAUAAAUAUUAUCUAAAAUUAAUUAGAUGAAAAAUAAACUUAAAUAAUUAUAAUAUUUAAUAAAAAUUGAGCAUUUAACUCUUUUUUUUCUUCUAAAUUUUGGUGACUAAGAUUAUCCCGAAUGUAAAAAUCCGUUGUUGAAAGUAGGUCUUUUCCACUUUGAUCAUGUAUAUUAUAUAUAAAUAUCUUGCCCCCUUAUCAACAAUUUUAGCUUCGACCUUGUAAAUAACACUCAAAUUUCAAAAAGGCAAUGAAAGAUAAAUAUUGCUAUAUCAAAGUGUUUGAGAGUUGUGAUAUUUGUUGCUAUUGUUAUAAUGUAUUUCGUAUGAAGUUUACAUCAGUGUUAAUUAUGAUCAUCAUCCGAAUCUAUAUCAUUAAGAUCAUCGAGAUUUUUUUUUGUGUACUUUUCAAAGUAUGAAUCAUUUCAAAUUCAUCUAUGAAUGAAGUUACGAAUUAUGCAACAUAUUUGUACAAUCCAAUGAAAUAUGAAUCAUCACUUUUACGACAUACAAAUUAUUUUUAUAAUAAUUUUUUUAUCAUAACUUAAAAAAAAUAAGAUUUAAAUAAUAUAAAUUUUUUAUUAUAACUUUAUAAAAUAAAUAUAAAUUAUUUUUAUAACAUAAUUUAUUAUAAUGAUUAUGAUUUUAACCAUUGCUUUCUACUACUUUCAAUUAUAAAAAAAUAUUUAAGUUUAGAUCCCACACCUGAUUCGAAGACAUAAAAACCUUAAUUGGAUGAAGAGAUUGACGAUCUACUCGGGAGGAGAGGAAUGAUUUUUAUAACUUUUUGAAUUCCUUUGCUUGAAGAUUGAUUUGGUAAUGGUGGAGGAAAUACUUUGCAUGGUUUGAAAAUAUUUCCUAUUUCAAAAUUUUGAAAUCUAAAAGGUAAAGGUUAAAUUAUUGGAAAUAAAAGUAUAAGAACUAAAUUUAAAAUUUUUCAAUAGUGCAGGGACCGAUGACAUAACUUAACCCUUCAAUGAUUGGACCAUUUUAGCAAAUAGCACGAAUUUUCAUCCAUCUAGUCUAGCUUUUAAGUCAAGUCAACAGUUGUAGGACCUGCCAAUAAAAUCCCUUUGUUUCGACCCAAAACCUACAAAAAAAUGACUAAACUGAUUCACAUCGACUUUGCUAUUUUUCGUAAUAAUAAUAAUAAUAAUAAUAAUAAUAAUAACAAUAAUAGUUCGUUAACCCAAAAAUAAUAAUAAAUCUGUCAUGGCCGGGUCAUUCAACCAGAUCUGAAAUUCCGUCCGAAAAUUGAGAGAGUUUAGAUAAAAAUAUAAGUUUCAAAAACUAGACUUGGGUAAAAAAAAAAGAAUCGUUUAAAAAUCGGGUCAGACCUUGGGUAAGCCUUUUAGGCCCAAUCUCGACCCUAAUUAGCAAAAAGACAAAAAAAGAAGAAGCUAUUUUCUUGCUGUUUUGCUACUAUUUUCUUAUUAUUUUCUUACUUUUUUACUAUCAUUUCACUAUUAUGUUACUACUAUUUUGUUGUUAUUAUUUGGAUAUUAUAUAACUCUUAUUUUAUUAUUAAUUUUGUUACUAUUUUAGAGGCAUUUGCUUAUUAAGUUACACCUAUUUUAAUAUUAUUUAAGUAUAAAUAUAAUAAUAAUUCAUUAUUAGUAUUAUUUAAGUAUAAAUCGAGCCCAAACAUAGCAAACGGGUCUAAAAUAAUUAUAAUUCAUUAUUGGAUUGAGGUAGAACACGAGGCUUGACUCUCAACUUGUUAAAAUAUAUUUUUUGGUACCCAUAUUUGAUUUCAAUUUUAAAUUUAGUAUCUAAGUUUGACUUCAAUGUUUAGUUUGAAACUUGAGUUUUUUCAUAUUAAUGCUUGAGUUUUUUUUUGUCACAUAUAAGUACCUAAGUUUUACUUUAAUGUUUAAUUUGGCACUUGAGUUUUUUUCUUUUGUCCCAAUUAAGUACCGAUGAUUCUUUUACUAAGGCACUCAUGUAAAAUAUUUAUUGAAGUACAUGAUGUUGUUUAGUUUAGGUACCAAAUUAAACAUUGAAACCAAAUAUAAGCACUAAAUGAUAUAUUAACCCUUAACUUUAUCAUAUAGGGACCUAAAUUUAACAAAAAAAAUUAACUGUGUUAGCAAUUAGACCUCAAUUCUAAAAUUUGAAAAGUGGAAAAAGUAAGUUCCUGAAAAUAAAAAUAUAGGACUAAAUUUUAAAUUUAUGAAUAGUACAGGACCUACAACAUAUUUUAACCCUUUGAAAAAUCAACGAUUGGACCACUUUUAGCAAAUAGCAGGAAAUUGCAUCCAUGUGGUCUAGUUUUUAAGUCAAGUCAGCUGUUGUAGGACCUGCCGACAAUAAUAAUAAUAACCACUCGUUAUUGGAUUGAGGUAGAAGACGAGGCAUGACUCUAAACUUCCUUUAAUUUUAAAGUUAAUAUAUUAUUUAGUACCUAUAUUUAAUUUUAACGUUCAAUUCGAUAUUUAAAUUUUUUUUCUUAAAUUGGUACCUGAUUUUUUUUUUGUAUUGAUACUUGAGUUUUCUUUGCCCCAUACUAGUAUUUAGGUUUGACUUCAAUAUUCAAUUUAACACGUAAGUUUUUCUUUUGUCCCAACUAAAUACCUAUGUUUUUUUUACUAGGGCGAACAUGUCAAAUAUUUAUUGAACCAUAUGAUGUCGUUUAGUUUGGGUACCGAAUUGAACAUUAAAGCCAAACUUAGGUUCCAAAUUAAAAAAAAAGAUUAGGUACCAAAUUGAAAAUUCAAGCCAAAUGUAAGUACCAAAUGAUAUAUUAACCCUUAAUUUUGUCAUAUAUAUAUAUAUAUAUAUUAUGGAGUCUACAAAAAAAUACAUCAGUUUUCAAAAAUUAUUUAGUGGUUAAAUAUAAGGUUGUCUUUUGUUGUGUUCAUUUUAUAAUGUUAUUUGAUCAAAAACUUCCUUCGGAUUAAAUGUAAAAUAUUGGCAUAAUCCUCUCUUACUUUUCAAAGUCUUGCAAGGCCUUGUUCUUGGAAAUUUCCCAUGUCCAGUGAGAGAUGUAGAGUGAUAUCUAUAUAUUUACGAUCAUUUUCAAAGCUUUUGCAAUAAGUUCUUUAUCACAAUCUUGCUGUCCGAAGAAAUUCCUGUCUAUAGAUAUGGACUGUUCCAUAUUCUGUAGGACGAAACUUUGUUUUAAUGCUUUCUUCUUCUUGUUUAUCAUCUCCUCUUUCACAUGUCUUCAUGUAGUCUUCGGCACAGCAAGUGAAUUUGAUUAUGGCGUUCACUGUAACUCAGUUGUUCAUGAAUCCAAACCAGUUGAUGAGGAGUUCAAUAUCAUGCCUUUCCCUGGACGUCAAAAUGGUUACUUCAGUGGUGGUGAUAAAGUCCUAAACAAUCCUCCUUCACGUUCCUACUCUCCACCGGAAUCUAAAACGUUCCUUUUCGAAACUCACCACGUAUAUACAACCGAUGCUGAUGAUGUCUUUAUGGUGGAAGGAAACCUGAUUUUUCAAACCUCGUUUUACUAUGAACAGAGUAUCUCCUCUGGAAGCUCAUACGUUAUAAGUUCAAGCGAUUCAAGCGACCGUGGGACACUGGACUUUGAUUUUCGAGGCUUCUGGUCUCGAACAACCGGGAAGCUUUGCAUGGUGGGA